Cricetulus griseus (Chinese hamster) is the source of this 404-nucleotide unclassified non-coding RNA. Its record names the gene Telomerase-vert. It matches the Rfam family "Vertebrate telomerase RNA". Rfam says of the family: Telomerase is a ribonucleoprotein reverse transcriptase that synthesises telomeric DNA. NCBI's taxonomy places the organism in Eukaryota, Metazoa, Chordata, Mammalia, Rodentia, Cricetidae. The record is from Ensembl.
GCGACCUGGCGGGCGGCUGCCAGUCUAACCCUGAAUUCUGAGAGCUGUGGGUACUGUGCUUUCGUCUCCGCCCGCUGUUUUUCUCGCUGACUUCCAGCGGGCGGGAAAGUCCAGACCUGCAGCGGGCCAUCGCGCGUUUUCCACCACAAAAAAAUGUCAGCGCUGGGCUCAUGUGCCUGGAGCCUUGCGGCCGGCCGCCCAGCCCCGCACCCGCCUGAGGCCGCGGUCGGCCUGGAGUCCUCGGGCUCCGCUGCCGCCGCGAAGAGCUAGACUCUGUCAGCCGCGGGGCGUCAGGGGCUGGGGCGAGCCCCGGCAGCGCCGCAAGCAGAGAAACGGAGCUGGUCCCGUGAACGGUGACUUCCCUGAGUUGUGGGAAAUGCACCAGGAACUCGGUUCCCACAACC